GGGGAUUUAGCUCAGUGGUAGAGCACUUGCCUAGCAAGCACAAAGCCCUGGGUUCGGUCCCCAGCUCUG
This 69-nucleotide transfer RNA is filed under the name Rattus norvegicus (Norway rat). It matches the Rfam family "tRNA". From Rfam's summary of the family: Transfer RNA (tRNA) molecules are approximately 80 nucleotides in length. Their secondary structure includes four short double-helical elements and three loops (D, anti-codon, and T loops). Lineage: Eukaryota; Metazoa; Chordata; Mammalia; Rodentia; Muridae. The record is from Rfam by way of RNAcentral.